AUAUAUAUAUAUACAGAAGAAAGUUCUAUGGAGACUGGAUUAUUUGGAGACUGUAGAGACUUAAUCAUGGUCAUCCAAUCAUUAAACAUCCAACGGCUGCAUAUAUUUUGUCCUGCACGUUUGUUUUCUCUCCCUAUCAUGUCCUGCACUUCUAAAUCGAUGAACAACAAGCAGUACUUCUAAAUCUUGCAUAACAUAAAAUAAUAAUUCCAUAAUAUUGGUGUUCAAUCACCGAAAUCCUAACAAAUAAAAAUAAUAAUUGCAUACAAAACAAAGAUGUGGUUGGACACUGCUAUGAUUGGCACUGAACUCAUUGUCAUUGUCCUGCAACGAAUUGAAUUUGUUGCAAGACAAAAUAACACUUAGAUAUAUCACAAAUAUGCGGGACAAAUUAUUAAUAUUACAUUACUAGAAAUGCAGGACAAGAAUAGUGUAAAUUACAAACAUAGUUUUGAAUUAAAAUUAAAAACAAGAAAUGCAGGACAAGAAUAUUAAUAAUACAUUACUAGAAAUGCAGGACAAGAAUAGUGUAAAUUAUUAAUAUUACAAAACUAGAAAUGCAGGACAAGAAAUGCAGGACAAAGAAUAUUUAAUCAUGUCCAUUAAUUACCAUAUUAUUUAACGGUAGAUCCUGUAGUCUCUAAUGACUCCAAAAUUUUUGGUCUCCAUUGAG
This 673-nucleotide long non-coding RNA is filed under the name Daucus carota (carrot). RNAcentral describes it as "long non-coding RNA (DCAR_LNC004191)". The record is from RNAcentral. Lineage: Eukaryota; Viridiplantae; Streptophyta; Magnoliopsida; Apiales; Apiaceae.